UUUAAAAACAAACUUUAAUGAAAACGAUUUUGAUGAAAUAGAAUGGGGAAAGGCUAGUUAGAAGGUUCCUUCUCCACACAUGAAACAUAUGCAUACGACUCGAUUUCCAAUUACUCUUGCAAUAAACCAUGAAUGACAAUGCCCCAAAUUAACUAGAUUGACCAAUUAACUCACAGAUUUCCCUAGAUUCAUUGAAUUGAAUGGGAUACGCAUUACAACCAAAU
Molecule: long non-coding RNA, 224 nt
Filed under: Malus domestica (apple)
Lineage: Eukaryota; Viridiplantae; Streptophyta; Magnoliopsida; Rosales; Rosaceae
Description: long non-coding RNA (MDOM_LNC020761)
Source: RNAcentral